RNAcentral lists this ribosomal RNA (565 nucleotides) under uncultured bacterium. RNAcentral's name for it is "partial 16S ribosomal RNA". It matches the Rfam family "Bacterial small subunit ribosomal RNA", at positions 355 to 914 of the family's 1533-position model. The record is from RNAcentral.
UGGGGAAUUUUGGACAAUGGGCGCAAGCCUGAUCCAGCCAUGCCGCGUGCGGGAAGAAGGCCUUCGGGUUGUAAACCGCUUUUGUCAGGGAAGAAAUCUUCUGAGUUAAUACCUCGGGAGGAUGACGGUACCUGAAGAAUAAGCACCGGCUAACUACGUGCCAGCAGCCGCGGUAAUACGUAGGGUGCAAGCGUUAAUCGGAAUUACUGGGCGUAAAGCGUGCGCAGGCGGUUUUGUAAGACAGAGGUGAAAUCCCCGGGCUCAACCUGGGAACUGCCUUUGUGACUGCAAGGCUUGAGUGCGGCAGAGGGGAUGGAAUUCCGCGUGUAGCAGUGAAAUGCGUAGAUAUGCGGAGGAACACCGAUGGCGAAGGCAAUCCCCUGGGCCUGCACUGACGCUCAUGCACGAAAGCGUGGGGAGCAAACAGGAUUAGAUACCCUGGUAGUCCACGCCCUAAACGAUGUCAACUGGUUGUUGGGAAGGUUCCUUCUCAGUAACGUAGCUAACGCGUGAAGUUGACCGCCUGGGGAGUACGGCCGCAAGGUUGAAACUCAAAUGAAUUGAC